This 267-nucleotide ribosomal RNA is filed under the name uncultured bacterium. RNAcentral describes it as "partial 16S ribosomal RNA". It matches the Rfam family "Bacterial small subunit ribosomal RNA", at positions 793 to 1055 of the family's 1533-position model. The record is from RNAcentral.
GUCCACGCCUUAAACGAUGAGUGCUAGAUGUCGCGGGCAUUGACCCCUGCGGUGUCGUAGCUAACGCAUUAAGCACUCCGCCUGGGGAGUACGGCCGCAAGGCUAAAACUCAAAGGAAUUGACGGGGGCCCCGCACAAGCGGUGGAGCAUGUGGUUUAAUUCGACGCAACGCGCAGAACCUUACCUGGGCUAGAAAUGGCAGGAACCUGGGUGAAAACUCGGGGUGCUCUUCGGAGAAUCUGUCGUUAGGUGCUGCAUGGCUGUCGU